Molecule: ribosomal RNA, 254 nt
Filed under: uncultured bacterium
Lineage: Bacteria
Description: partial 16S ribosomal RNA
Rfam family: Bacterial small subunit ribosomal RNA
Source: RNAcentral
UACGGAGGGUGCAAGCGUUGUUCGGAAUCACUGGGCGUAAAGCGCGUGUAGGCGGCCUUCUCAGUCUGGUGUGAAAGCCCGGGGCUCACCCCCGGAAGUGCCAUUGGAUACUGGAAGGCUGGAGUACCGGAGAGGAGGGUGGAAUUCCUGGUGUAGCGGUGAAAUGCGUAGAUAUCAGGAGGAACACCGGUGGCGAAGGCGGCCCUCUGGACGGAUACUGACGCUGAGACGCGACAGCGUGGGGAGCAAACAGG